Colletotrichum incanum is the source of this 96-nucleotide transfer RNA. It matches the Rfam family "tRNA". Rfam says of the family: Transfer RNA (tRNA) molecules are approximately 80 nucleotides in length. NCBI's taxonomy places the organism in Eukaryota, Fungi, Ascomycota, Sordariomycetes, Glomerellales, Glomerellaceae. The record is from Rfam.
GGUCGGUUAGCUCAGUUGGUUAGAGCGUGGUACUAAUAUAUCAUCUUGAUAUAUCAAGUGAUGCCAAGGCCGUGAGUUCAAGCCUCACACUGAUCA